RNAcentral lists this transfer RNA (72 nucleotides) under Candidatus Woesebacteria bacterium. RNAcentral's name for it is "tRNA-Lys". It matches the Rfam family "tRNA". From Rfam's summary of the family: Transfer RNA (tRNA) molecules are approximately 80 nucleotides in length. Their secondary structure includes four short double-helical elements and three loops (D, anti-codon, and T loops). The record is from RNAcentral. Lineage: Bacteria; Candidatus Woeseibacteriota.
GGGCCUAUAGCUCAAUGGUAGAGCAGGAGCCUUUUAAGCUCUGUGUUGGGGGUUCGAGUCCUCCUGGGCCCA